UUGCACGGUGGCCAUCUUGAAAAGUUCACUUUGUUUUUGCGAUUGGCGGUUCGUAUUGAUAAAUUGCGAAAGUAAAAGCAUUGCUUUGAAGAAUUGGAUACUACAAUUUACAUUUUAAAACUGGUGUUAAACUGUUUUGAACAAUGAAUAACCCAGUUAAGUUUGAAGACCUUUUUGAGUACAUCAAAGUUAGUGAAGAUGAAGAUGAUUGUAAUGCCGUAGAGAUACCUUGUGAAGUUGAUGGGACUCUUUUGAUAUCCACUUUGGUGGCUCAAUUCCCUGGAGCAUGUGGAUUAAAAUAUCGACAUCGGGAAACCAAAACGAUACGCGGUAUCCGUCUCAGUGAUGGCAAACUGCAUCCGCCGAGUGAAGCAGGAUGGGGUAAAUAUUUAUAUAUUUGCGUAUUCCCGAAGGAAAAUAAGCGGAAGAUGGAAGAUGUGUCACCUGAAAACUCUGCAGCAAAGACCAAACGCUUAGAAAAGAAGCUCACUUGCUCAGACUUAAUUUGCCUGGGACUGCCUUGGAAGUCGACUGAAGAAUCCUUAAAACAAUAUUUUGAGCAGUUUGGUGAGGUAGUAAUGGUUCAGUUGAAACGAGAUAAAAACGGUGCCUUUAAAGGCUUUGGAUUCAUACGCUUUGCUACGUACGCUUCGCAAAUGCGAGCUUUGGCCCAGAGGCAUAAUAUUGAUGGCAGAUGGGUUGAUGUCCGCAUUCCUAACUCUAAAGAAGGAGUAGUUCCACAGAUGCCUUGCAAAGUUUUCGUUGGCAGGUGUACUGAAGAUAUGACCGCGGAUGAUCUUCGUGAAUACUUCUCUAGAUUUGGAGAAGUAACAGAUGUAUUUGUUCCACGGCCAUUUAGAGCUUUUGGUUUUGUAACUUUCCUAGACCCUGAAGUGGCACAGAGUCUCUGUGGUGAAGACCAUGUUAUCAAAGGUGCAUCAGUUUCUGUAUCUAGUGCUGCACCAAAAAUCAAAAGCAAGUCCAAUCCAAAUUGGAAGGAUGAUUCUUACAGUUCUAACAAUUGGGAUGGUAAUCGUUCUGGACCUUCUGGUGGAUCUAAUGGCAAUGGAAACAGUAACAAUAUUGAUACAUUGAACAUGCAAAACUUGGGAAUAAACCCUAAUGGUGGUCCACCAGCUAACUUCAAUUUGCCUAUAAGCCUUGUCGCUGCAGCUCUCAACCAAGCUGGAUGGGGUGGAUUCUUGGGAGGGCAGGGGGGUUCAGGUCCAAAUAAUUGGCAAGGUGGCCCCCCACAAGGUAGUUCAGGUAAAAAUUGGAACAGUAACCAAAAUUGGGGACAAAAUGGACCACCUCCAGCAUGGAAUCAGGGUAACAAUCCCAAUUGGAAUGGUGGGAAAAAUGGUAACUGGAACCAAGGGAAUUGGCCGAGUGGACAAGGUUGGGGUGGUAAUGGUGGGGGUGGUUCUGCUGGGUCUGGUGGUGGAUGGAACAAAUCUCAAACAUGAGGUGAACAUAGCUGUUUAUACCAGAAAUGUUUGUGAGAGAAGUUUUAACUGCUCUCAGAGAUUUCAAUUGAGAUGAAAAUUGCUUAGUUCAGUAAAAGGUAUGCAGAGUUUGCCAGUUGAAAGUUUGAGAUUAGGAGACAUGAAUGAUUGAUCAACGAAGAUUGAGCAGAGAAGAUUAGAAUUAUUUUGUUGGCUAUUUUUUAUUAAAAAAGUCUUGUUUAAUUAAAAUUUUAUAUUUACACAUGAAUGCAUAUUCACUAAAUACAACGAAUUAUAACUAAAACUCCUUACCAUUAGCUUGAUAAAGUCUUUAAUCGAAUUAUUACAAGAACUACAUACUCAUGGUAUAUCACAGCAAGCAUUUACAUAAAUAACAAUUGAAACUUUUUCGUUUUCCAUUACACAUCUUAUUUUAAAUAGGUAAAAUAUAUGCCACAUAGCAAAAACUUAAAAUUUUUAGAUAAGUUUCUUUUUCUUAAAUAUAACAACAAUGGAACUGAAGUAUUUUACUUAUAUGUAUAUUUUUUGAUUCUCAUUUACAAACAAAAUCAAUUAUUACCCAAAUUAUAGUUAUAUUUAUAUGACUGACACAUAACAAAACAAAAUUUCCAUACAAUAUAUGAGAGAUUGUUAUAAUGUGAAGACGUAAUAUUAGAAUGA
Molecule: RNA transcript, 2126 nt
Organism: Pararge aegeria (speckled wood butterfly)
Lineage: Eukaryota; Metazoa; Arthropoda; Insecta; Lepidoptera; Nymphalidae
Gene name: TAR DNA-binding protein 43-like
Exons: 3
Source: RefSeq, a predicted model, not a curated record